UGAAAAUCCCGACUUCGGAAGGGAGGUAUUUAUUAGAUUAAAAACCAAUGCCCUCUGGGCUCCUUGGUGAUUCAUAAUAACUUUUCGAAUCGCACGGCCUUGCGCCGGCGAUGGUUCAUUCAAAUUUCUUCCCUAUCAACUUUCGAUGUUUGGGUAUUGGCCAAACAUGGUCGCAACGGGUAACGGAGGGUUAGGGCUCGACCCCGGAGAAGGAGCCUGAGAAACGGCUACUACAUCCAAGGAAGGCAGCAGGCGCGCAAAUUACCCAAUCCCGAUUCGGGGAGGUAGUGACAAUAAAUACUGAUACAGGGCUCUUUUGGGUCUUGUAAUUGGAAUGAGUACAAUUUAAAUCUCUUAACGAGGAACAAUUGGAGGGCAAGUCUGGUGCCAGCAGCCGCGGUAAUUCCAGCUCCAAUAGCGUAUAUUAAAGUUGUUGUGGUUAAAAAGCUCGUAGUUGAACCUUGGGCCUGGCUGGCCGGUCCGCCUCACCGCGUGUACUGGUCCGGCCGGGCCUUUCCCUCUGUGGAACCUCAUGCCCUUCACUGGGUGUGGCGGGGAAACAGGACUUUUACUUUGAAAAAAUUAGAGUGCUCCAGGCAGGCCUAUGCUCGAAUACAUUAGCAUGGAAUAAUAAAAUAGGACGCGUGGUUCUAUUUUGUUGGUUUCUAGGACCGCCGUAAUGAUUAAUAGGGACAGUCGGGGGCAUCAGUAUUCAAUUGUCAGAGGUGAAAUUCUUAGAUUUAUUGAAGACUAACUACUGCGAAAGCAUUUGCCAAGGAUGUUUUCAUUAAUCAGGAACGAAAGUUAGGGGAUCGAAGACGAUCAGAUACCGUC
RNAcentral lists this ribosomal RNA (834 nucleotides) under Zarea fungicola. Its description in RNAcentral is "SSU rRNA". It matches the Rfam family "Eukaryotic small subunit ribosomal RNA", at positions 174 to 1019 of the family's 1831-position model. The record is from RNAcentral. Lineage: Eukaryota; Fungi; Ascomycota; Sordariomycetes; Hypocreales; Cordycipitaceae.